This is a long non-coding RNA of Carica papaya (papaya), 1682 nucleotides long. RefSeq lists it as uncharacterized. The record is from RefSeq and is a predicted model, not a curated record. NCBI's taxonomy places the organism in Eukaryota, Viridiplantae, Streptophyta, Magnoliopsida, Brassicales, Caricaceae.
UGUUAGGAUCCAUAGAUCCCAACGUGUUCCCACAAGAAAUCCAAAAUACCGAAAUGGAAGAAAAUGACUUAGUCAACCGCACAUGCACCAACCAUCCCCACAAAAUCGGUCCACCAUAUCCACAUUCAGCCAAUUCCACUGUGCAACAACUCUCCACAACAGUAGUGGACCAUUAUCCCUUAUCUCUUUCUUUGGAAAUCAUGUUCGUAGAAGUAGGAAGUAGUUAUUAGCUUGUAAUCCCUCUUUGACUAUUUAAAGCCUCGACAUAUGAAUGAAAAGCAAAUAGAAAAUCAUUCCAAAUUCUGGGUUCUUUUCUCACCUUAAGCAGAAAGAUUUUUAUUUCCUUCAAGUUUUGAUUGGGACCUAACAUUGGUAUUAGAGUUAUGUCUAAUAAGAAGAGGAUUGAACAACUCGAAGCAAGUGUUGGGAGGCUACAACAUAGCUUCAGUAAAAUAGAGUUGGGAGUUGCGGAUAAGCUACACCAGAUGGAGGACACCCUUAAACGGUUGACAGAGGCGUUGCUAACUAACCAAGAGGAUUCCAGCAGCAACAACCCAGUUUGAACGGGGUCAGCAUAGCCUUUCCGUGAGGAAGGACCCGGUUGAAAUGAAGGGGGCGAUCCGACCGAAUAGAUUAGCCGAAUGGAGUAAUUCUUUGAUUACCAAGCCACUGCCGAUGAACAGAAAGUGCAGCUGGCGUCUUUCCACUUGGAGGGCGAAGCCAACUAGCAGUGGCAAUGUCUUCACCGAACUUAUCAAGAAGAAGGGAAGCUGGUGACGUGGACCAGGUUUGUAGAAGAACUUCGGCUCCGCUUUGGGCCAACAGAGGUGGAAGACUUUGAUGAGACAUUGUUUAAAAUUAGGUAGGUCGACCCAUUGAGAGAGUACCAAAAAGAGUUCGAAUGGCUUGGCAACCGAGUCCACGGUUGGACCCAUAAGGCUUUAAUUGGAACCUUCAAGGGCUCAACCCGAAAUAACAGAUGGGAUAAGGAUGUUCAAGCCUAGGACCCUGAAGGAUGUGAUAAGCCUAGCCCGUAUGCGUGAGGAGCAGUUGGGCCGUUAAAGUAGGCUGGACUGGGUGGGACAGACUCAACCCGACCCACCAGCACGCUCUCUAUUUGACUAGACCCCGCGAGAUCUAGCAGCAACAGUCGCCGCUCGCAAAUAGUUAUCCUAGGAAUAAGCACAACGUCAGCGAGCACAAGGUUUGUUCUUCCACUGUGACCAAAAGUUUACAUUCGGCCACAGAUGCCGUUGAUCCCAACUAUUACUUCUGGAAGUCGACAAAGAGGAAGAGGGUGGCGAAUCGGUGAAGCCUGGCUGAGCAGAGAGACAAGAGCACCUGAAUCUUGAGGACAAGGUUGCUAACAAAGGGGAGAGUGAUGUUAGGAUUCGUAGAUCCCAACGUGUUCCCACAAGAAACCCAAAAUAUCAAAAUUGAAGAAAAUGACCCAGUCAACCGCACGUGCACCAACCAUCCCUACAGAACCGGUCCACUAUAUCCAUAUUCAACCAAUUCCACUCUGCAGAAGCUCUCCACAACAAAAGUGGACCAUUAUCCCUUAUCUCUUUCUUUGAAAAUCAUGUUCGUAGAAGUACGAAGUAGUUGUUAGCUUGUAAUCCCUCUUUGGCUAUUUAAAGCCUCGAUAUGUGAAUGAAAAGCAAGUAGAAAAUCAUUCCAAA